GGACAGACGGGGACAUUCGUAUUGCGGCGCUAGAGGUGAAAUUCUUGGACCGUCGCAAGACGAACUAAGGCGAAAGCAUUUGUCAAGAAUGUUUUCAUUAAUCAAGAACGAAAGUUAGAGGUUCGAAGGCGAUCAGAUACCGCCCUAGUUCUAACCAUAAACGAUGCCAGCCAGCGAUUAGCCUGAGUUCCUUAAAUGACUCGGCUAGCAGCUUCCGGGAAACCAAAGCUUUUCGGUUCCGGGGGAAGUAUGGUUGCAAAGCUGAAACUUAAAGGAAUUGACGGAAGGGCACCACCAGGAGUGGAGCCUGCGGCUUAAUUUGACUCAACACGGGAAAACUUACCUGGUCAGGACACUGGAAGGAUUGACAGAUUGAGAGCUCUUUCUUGAUUCAGUGGGUGGUGGUGCAUGGCCGUUCUUAGUUGGUGGAGCGAUUUGUCUGGUUAAUUCCGAUAACGAACGAGACUCUAGCCUACUAAAUAGACUGCUCAACUUUAUAGCUGCAUCACCUUGCAGUUGCUUCGGUGGCUGUAAGGCUGUGGUGACGUUGGCAGUGCUUCUUAGAGGGACAGGCGGCGGUUCAGCCGCACGAAACAGAGCAAUAACAGGUCUGUGAUGCCCUUAGAUGUCCAGGGCCGCACGCGCGCUACACUGAAGUGAUCAGCGUGCAAUUAACGUUUCCCACUCCGUCAGGAGUGGGUAACCCGUUGAACCUUCUUCGUGAUUGGGAUAGGGGAUUGUAAUUAUUCCCCUUGAACGAGGAAUUCCCAGUAAGCGCAAGUCAUAAGCUUGCGUUGAUUACGUCCCUGCCCUUUGUACACACCGCCCGUCGCUACUAC
This 839-nucleotide ribosomal RNA is filed under the name uncultured eukaryote. Its description in RNAcentral is "bacterial SSU rRNA". It matches the Rfam family "Eukaryotic small subunit ribosomal RNA", at positions 876 to 1685 of the family's 1831-position model. The record is from RNAcentral.